Long non-coding RNA from Artibeus jamaicensis (Jamaican fruit-eating bat), 505 nucleotides. RefSeq lists it as uncharacterized. NCBI's taxonomy places the organism in Eukaryota, Metazoa, Chordata, Mammalia, Chiroptera, Phyllostomidae. The transcript has 4 exons. The record is from RefSeq and is a predicted model, not a curated record.
GGGGAGGACGAGCGGGGAUAAAGCCGCCGCCGCCAAACACCCGGACCCAGCCGAAGAGGCUCUCCUCUCAGCCUGCGACGGAAACUCCGGAAGAUCUGGCAGACAUGGGCAACAAGGAUGUGUGGCUCUGUAGACGGAGGAGGAUGUACUGGACUUCCACAGCUCCAGUUAUUUGGAUCACUCACUCUUGAGGGAAGCCUGCUGCCAUGUCAUUAGGACACCCAAGGAUCCCUUUGAGAGGUCAAAGUGAAGAACUAAGGCUGCCAGCAAACAACCAGCACUAACCUGCCAGGUAUACGCACUUUGGAAGUGAAUCCUCCAGCCCAUCGAGCAUUAGAAGACUGCAAUCUUAUGGUAAACCCCAAGACUGACCACCCAGCCAAGCUACUCCUGAAUUCCUGGCUCUUAGAAAUUACAUGAGAAACUCCAGGUAACAAGAGACACUCUCCAGUCACAGACCCGCAGCGCCCUAGCGCGCACGCGCAGACUGCAGUGGUUGUAUCCC